AACUCUCUCCUGUGGGUGGUGUCUUGAGUCUCUGCAACCAUGGACACAGGUGGCAGCAAUGUACUUGGAUUCCGACGAAGGGGGUGCCCAUGGCUGAGGCAGGACUGGGUUCACAGCCAUCCAAGUUAGCAUCUGGGAGAGUUGGCUCAUGCUCCAGAGAGCCUCCUCCCUUCAAGUCUUGGUGACUUGUCAGGGGAUUUUUAGCACGAGGUGGUUGCCUCACCAAGGGAGCAGCAUUCUUGGGCCUUGUAAACUGUCUGGACACCGCAAAGCAUUGAUGCCUCCCUGGACAGCAUGGGCCUGGCUCUGCCAACACAUCCGUCAUCCUACUACACACUUCCAGCAAACAGGGAUGAUGCUUUUCAUCCAAGGUCAAGGUUGGUGGGGAAGGGCUCUGUCUUGGCCCAUGGGCCUGCAGGUCUGUCUCUGAGUUGGGACAGCUGCUGGAAGGCCCCACUAAACUAAUGUAAGAUACUCGGAAAGUUUGUCACCAGGGGAAGAAAGCAUUCUGGACUGCAUCAUUGGUGUCAGAUUCCACUGUGUGUUUAGAAGGCACAGUUUGUUUCCGAGAGUCUCAAAAUGUAAGCAGCAAACACCCUGCCAAGCUGCAGACAUAGGGCAGAUACAGAGAGGGGUGAAGAACUGGAGCAACUGAAGGCACUUCCCAUGGAUGCUGCGGGGAGAGGACCUCUUCCUGGGAGCUGAGGGCCAGGAUCCCCCUGAGGCCCUCUCUGGUCAAAUGAAAAUGGUUCCUGUCUUAUAUAUUAGGUGAAAGUUUGGAUCUCUGUUCUGUAAACUGGC
This 801-nucleotide long non-coding RNA is filed under the name Homo sapiens (human). RNAcentral describes it as "HSALNT0083094". Lineage: Eukaryota; Metazoa; Chordata; Mammalia; Primates; Hominidae. The record is from RNAcentral.